AUAUCAAUUUGGUUCGUGGUAUAUAAAAUGCAAUUAUCCAGAUAUCUAAAAUACCCAAUUAAAUAAUUUCCUUCUUUUGGAAUUUUUAAAUUUUUUUAUGAUGUGUACAUUUUACAAGAUUAAUAUUAGGAAAAGAAAAUUCCAAGAAUCUUUUGUUUACAUUAUACUAUUAAAUUUUCAUUAAUGAAAAUAUAAAUAGAAUGGACUUUUAAUUGAAAUUUAACAAACAUAUAUUAUAAAAUUGAUAAAAUUCAAUGGGCCUUAGAAUUUGAGCUUGAUAACCAAGGCCUUAUUAUUUAACACUUUAUGGGCCUUAUGAUGGUUAAUAGCACAUGUAAGCUGCAACCAACAACUCUUUUUUUUACUAUAACCCAAGCCAACUAAGAUAAGAACAAUGCAGAGACAGAUGCAUGAGGAUUCUUCUUCUUCUUCUUCCGUUUGAUUUUGUGCAGAGCAGAGCGAAACCAGAUUGCUUGAUUUGUCAACUUAGAUCGCGUUCCCAAGCAAUUUGGCACACAAACAUCCCGCGAUUUAGGAUGCGAGAUCUGGGCCACAGAAUACGGGGGUUAAGCGAAUCUAGCAACUAUGGUCAGGUUCGCAGGCAUUUAGAAAUCAUCACCUCUAAUAGAGAUAGAUCAUCCAUGCAUAAAACAUGAGUUUGAGAUGCAACAUUUUUCAAUUUUUCUGCAUGAUACAUGUAAUAAAAAUUACCUUGAGUUUGAGAAGCGCGAGCAG
Molecule: unclassified non-coding RNA, 735 nt
Filed under: Hevea brasiliensis (rubber tree)
Lineage: Eukaryota; Viridiplantae; Streptophyta; Magnoliopsida; Malpighiales; Euphorbiaceae
Source: RNAcentral